AGACCGCCGGCUAAGGCCCCGAAAUAUGGGUUAAGUUAAACUAACGAAGUUCGGUUCCUAAGACAGCUAGGAUGUUGGCUUGGAAGCAGCCAUUCAUUCAAAGAGUGCGUAACAGCUCACUAGUCGAGGGACUGUGCAUGGAUAAUAAUCGGGUAUGAAACCCAUUGCCGAAGCCGCGGGAUAUGUAAAUAUCGGUAGGGGAGCAUUCCAGUAGCGUUGAAGAUAUUCAGACAAUGAAUGUUGGAGCAUCUGGAAAAGCAAAUGUAGGUAUAAGUAACGAUAAAGAGUGUGAGAUGCACUCUCGCCGAAAGACUAAGGUUUCCCGGGCAACGUUAAUCGGCCCGGGGUUAGUCGGGACCUAAGGAUAAGCCGAAAGGUGAGGCCGAUGGCAGAAAGGGUUAAUAAUCCCUUACUACCUUUAUGGGCGAUGUGGAGACGGAAAAGUGAAACUCCCGCGUGCCGACGGAAACGCACGUUAAAGGGUGUAGGCGUAGAUCGCAGUAGGCAAAUCCGCUGUGAGAGCCGAACCUGAUAGUACACAAAGCCUUCGGGCAGCGUGAUAGUGGAGGUAAUCAUAUUCCCGAGAAAAUCCGCUAAGCUUAACCAUAAAGGUACCCGUACCGCAAACGGACACACGUAGUUGGGUAGAAUAUACUAAGGCGCUUGGAAGAUUCACGGUUAAGGAACUAGGCAAAUUAGCCCCGUAACUUCGGGAAAAGGGGUCCUCACGUGAGUGAGGCGCAGAGAAUAGGUCCAGGCAACUGUUUAACAAAAACACAGGGCUGUGCAAAAUCGAAAGAUGAAGUAUACAGUCUGACACCUGCCCGGUGCCGGAAGGUUAAGAGGAGAAGUCAUCGCAAGAGAAGCUUUGAAUUGAAGCCCCGGUAAACGGCGGCCGUAACUAUAACGGUCCUAAGGUAGCGAAAUUCCUUGUCGGGUAAGUUCCGACCUGCACGAAUGGUGUAAUGAUCCGGACACUGUCUCGACCGUGAUUCCAGUGAAAUUGUAGUAUCGGUGAAGAUGCCGAUUACCCGCGAUGGGACGAAAAGACCCCGUGAACCUUUACUGUAGCUUAACGUUGUGACUGGGCAGCGGAUGUGUAGGAUAGGCCGGAGGCUAAGAAGCGGGCACGCCAGUGUUCGUGGAGCCGCCGUUGAAAUACGGCCCUUCCUCUGUCUGGUUCCUAACUCGAAAUAUCGAGGACACCGUUUGGCGGGCAGUUUGACUGGGGUGGUCGCCUCCAAAAGCGUAACGGAGGCUUCUAAAGGUGCCCUCAGGCCGAUUGGUAACCGGCCGUAGAGUGUAAUGGCAAAAGGGCGCUUGACUGGGAGGCCGACAAGCCGAUCAGGUGGGAAACCAGAGCAUAGUGAUCCGGUGGUUCCGUAUGGAAGGGCCAUCGCU
Molecule: ribosomal RNA, 1401 nt
Filed under: human gut metagenome
Description: bacterial LSU rRNA
Rfam family: Bacterial large subunit ribosomal RNA
Source: RNAcentral